This 306-nucleotide ribosomal RNA is filed under the name uncultured bacterium. Its description in RNAcentral is "partial 16S ribosomal RNA". It matches the Rfam family "Bacterial small subunit ribosomal RNA", at positions 507 to 807 of the family's 1533-position model. The record is from RNAcentral.
GACAGCAGCAGCCGCGGUAAUACGUAGGGUGCGAGCGUUAAUCGGAAUUACUGGGCGUAAAGCGUGCGCAGGCGGUUGUGUAAGACAGGUGUGAAAUCCCCGGGCUUAACCUGGGAACUGCGCUUGUGACUGCACAGCUAGAGUAUGGCAGAGGGGGGUGGAAUUCCACGUGUAGCAGUGAAAUGCGUAGAGAUGUGGAGGAACACCGAUGGCGAAGGCAGCCCCCUGGGCCAAUACUGACGCUCAUGCACGAAAGCGUGGGGAGCAAACAGGAUUAGAUACCCGGGUAGUCCCUGUCUCUUAUAC